This 461-nucleotide ribosomal RNA is filed under the name uncultured bacterium. Its description in RNAcentral is "partial 16S ribosomal RNA". It matches the Rfam family "Bacterial small subunit ribosomal RNA", at positions 338 to 795 of the family's 1533-position model. The record is from RNAcentral.
CCUACGGGGGGCAGCAGUGAGGAAUAUUGGUCAAUGGGCUUACGCCUGAACCAGCCAAGUCGCGUGAGGGAAGACUGCCCUAUGGGUUGUAAACCUCUUUUGUCAGGGAGCAACGCCGGCUACGUGUAGCCGGACUGAGAGUACCUGAAGAAAAAGCAUCGGCUAACUCCGUGCCAGCAGCCGCGGUAAUACGGAGGAUGCGAGCGUUAUCCGGAUUUACUGGGUGUAAAGGGAGCGUAGGCGGCCCUGUAAGUCUGAUGUGAAAAUUUGGGGCUCAACCCCAAACGUGCAUUGGAAACUGCAGGGCUUGAGUGCCGGAGAGGCAGGCGGAAGUCCUAGUGGAGCGGUGAAAGGCGUAGAUAUUAGGAGGAACACCAGUGGCGAAGGCGGCCUGCUGGACGGUAACUGACGCUGAGGCUCGAAAGCGUGGGGAGCAAACAGGAUUAGAUACCCCAGUAGUC